UUUUGUUCCAAUGGAGAAAGGCUCACUGAUUGGGGAGGACAGGUGACCAUUCAAGUUUGGGCCCGAUCCCUCCUCUGGUCCCCCCCCCCCCCAACCCUCAAGGUCGCCGGCGGAUAGAGGGCAAAGGGUGUCAUUCCGUCCCCCCCGGAGGAACAAAUCAAAGUGGCGGACAAGCAAAACACCUGAGGUGAUUUAAGACGUUGCAUUGCACUUUCCUUUCUUUAAUAUCGCUCAUGUUUGAGUCUUUUUAGUACAUGUUUAGAUGUUAACAUCCACGACAAGGCCAGCAGAUGUAGUCAGUGCAGGCGGUGCAGGCGGACCGGUAAAAGGGAUUCAGAAAUAUGCAAAUGCACCAAUAACUCAAGUUAAAUUAACAUUCACACGAGCAACUUAAUUCUCCUGCUGUGUGAAAAAAAAAAAAAAUGUAAUUCUAAGUAAUCAAUCAAAGGUGUAGACAUGAAAGACGGAGGAGAUAAUGAAGGAGAAGAUAAGUGAGAUCAAGACCGGCCUUUAAUCACACGCACUGAGGAAAACAUGGUGGCACGUGAUAACAGCCUCACGUGACUGCAAAGGUCUCUUCACUUCGGGCCUUCUGAAGCAAACACGACGCGGUGGCGGCGGCGGCGGGGGCGGCGACAUCGACACGCAGCCUCCGUCAGAGGUCCGUUUGCUCUCCUCUAAAGCACACGAGCGCUCCGGCCACGCAAACGGCUUUCAACAGGGGGGGGCGGGUGCUUUUUCUGCCCGACAUUCCCACGCAACCUUUCCUAAAUAUUACAUUUCAGAACCGCGAGUUUGCCUCGCGAGAUAAUCGACUCAUCUCCUGACAAUUUGCUGUGUUUAGUUUUGAAAGGAGGGGAAAUUGAGAGUUGUGUGGGUAAGAAGGCGAGGAGCAGAUAAUUGGCCUCAGAGGACGGGAUGCAUCAUCUGAACUUUGAUCUGAGAUAUCUUUAUGCUGUUUUCACACGUUGAACCGCCAGUGGCGCAGUUGGCAGUGAGCCCGGUUUGAUGUUCCUUUUUAUUCCUUUUUAUUCCUGUUUACUUUUCCAGCGCCUCGACUCACAAACGCACAAAUACCCAAAUAUGUCAAAACGAAGUUCAUCGGGAAAUCACUUUAUUUAGUCGAUAGAUAGUUCAGUGAUGAGUGAAAACCAGCUCAGCAGAUCUUUGUGUUCAUACAUUAUACCUUAAGUCUUUUAAUAGAAUAGUUUCAGUAAUAGCGAAUAUUUCAAACUUUCUCAUUUAGCCACAAGAAGAAUAAUGCUCUUUGUCAUUAUUGUCAGUUACUUAUGUACCUAUUUUCUGCAGCAUCUUGCAUCUAAAGAAUUUAGAAACAUCAAAAAGACUUUCUCCUUUUCUUCUUCUGGUUCCCGAGACUCACGGAACAUUCAGCAGAAUCCUUCUUGGCGUUAUCGGCAGGCCGCUGACGGGCAGCUGCCUUAACCUCCACCGGGACGCUGCACCAAGCGCAGAGGAGCGAUUUCCAUUCACCUUUUGAAUGAAUGUCAGAGGCUUCAGCUUGGGGGGGAGAUGGGAGGGGGGGGGACUGUUUGUCAAUUUCGACAUUUGAAUUUCAAUAAAACGCGCGCAGUGGCUUAAGAAUCUCUGCAGACCGAACCGAGUGGAAAUGCUUUCAGAUGUCUGAUCAUGUAGGAACAUCAGUGCACGGAACUUUUCUUUGGACAAGAACACAACAUUAAAGGGAACCGUUGCAUAUUUUCAACAGGCUUUGUAUAGUUUGAUGUGGGUGGUUUUUGUGCCGAUGAGCAAUGUUCGACCUCCACCCGAGCACGCACCACCCACAAUGCAACCACACAAAGCCAGUUCAAAAUGGUUGAAAAGGUGAAAUUGAUACCAUUGGUUUGCUAUUCUACAUGAUAUGCAUUAAUCAAUGACGCUAUCCCUUUAAGGUCUCUGUAUCAGAUACUUGCAGGCGCGUCUUUAAAAUGAAUGAGUGGGACUGCUGAGUGAUUAGCAUCAGCUAUAAGGAAGCCUUGAUUUGUCAGGUCCGUUUUUUUGGAUUCCUUCACAGCCGAGGAAACUUAAUAUAAAAAUGUAAGAUUGCAUAAACCAUGACCCGGGAUUUAUUCAUAUCAGGAAUUUAAUAAAUGAAUGAACCAGGGAUUACAAGGUGGAUCUAUGAGGCUAUAUGCAUCUCAAACCAUCUGCAAUAUUUCAUGUUUCUCCAAUAUUUAUUCUUCUCACAUUAAUUUAUUAAAAGCCUCAUGUCUAAAAAUGCCGUCAUUUUUAAUUGAGCACUCUGAUAAAUUACAGGGGUUGACGCAUGAUGAUACAUUCAUUACUUCUGUAACAAUAUGUAUAUAUAUAUAUGUAUAUUUAUAUAUAUAAAUAUAUAUGCAUUCAUUACAUUAUCGUGUGAUUACCGAGAAACAUGUGUAGCCUUGUUUUUUUUCCUCUCAGCUCCGUCUCUCCAAUUACCUUCAGCGUUAUGGAAUGCAGAGCCACAUUCGAGCCGUGCUCCAACAGAAGUGCUGCAUAUUAGCAUUUAUGUUCUGCUUCGCCCGGCGUUCAGAAAUAGUCGAUGAGCGGCGAAGACAAUGACCUUCAAACCGACUUCCUCCCCCUGUGUCUCCAAGCGUCAACACAACACAAACCGUUGCCUGAGAGCCGGUUCUGUGGUUUUGAAUUGUGAUGAUGUCGUUGUAUCAAACUUAAUACGCUCACUCCUGCCGGCACAUGGAUUCCCGCAGUCAGCACGCAGCCAAAAGGUGGACCGCGAGGACGGGCAGAGAAAGACCUUCAGAGUGACUGCAUGCCUCUUUGUGCAGAGAAUCCUCAAGUAGCAGCAACGAAAAAAAACCUGUGGCCCGAGAACAAGUCCCAGGGGUGCGAUUAGCUCCGUGGAGCCCAGGUCCCGUCACUGGAUGGGCUCUCAGAGGCACGAGGGCAAUGGGCUCCUUGUGUUGUUUUAUAUAAAGUGUGUUCGGGUGUCCACAGAGACUCGUGGUGGCAUAAUGUACGGCGGGGCUUCCUGCGCACAUGUCUUAUCGCACAUUGAGAGUGACGUGCUUCUAGAGACCCGUUUAUAGCGACGCACAAAGAGUGCACGCAGUGCAAGAAGGCGAUUCGCUUUGAUGGAUUUCAUUCACUGAGAGGUUGACAAAGCAGCUUGUUUGUGGCUUUUGCUCAGAUUUGAGGAGACGUCUGCAUGAAAAACACCGGGCAGGAUGCGGCUCUCACUCCCUGUGUGGAGGUCGGGCUAAUCAACAUUCACAUCGUCUUCCUCAUAAGUCAAGAAGUUUCUCGGACAUAAAAAAAUCUAUUUGAAGAUGCUUAUUGCACAUGUGCGGAGGGGAGGACCGGACCUUUGUGGGAGGUUGUGAUUAUGACUAACGCAGCAGCUGAGCCUGCACAGCCAUGAACAAUGGCCGUGUCCAUUACCGGAGUCCUGUGGCUGGAUUAAACACGUCUUCUCCGGGUCUUUCAGCAGUUUCACUUUCUCUGUGCUCACAAUUCUGGUGAACAAAAAACUAAACAGGCCAUACAGCGAACUUCUAAGAUCAUGUGACGGCACAUGGAUGGGCCGACAAAACAAGAAAGAGCGCGGCUGCUGCGCAAGCUAAGCCAUUAGCACAAAGGCUAACCCAGUAGCACAAGGGCUAACCCAGUAGCACAAGGGCUAAGCCAUUAGCACAAAGGUUAACGCAGUAGCACAAGGGCUAACCCAGUAGCACAAGGGCUAACCCAGUAGCACAAAGGCUAACCCAGUAGCACAAGGGCUAACCCAGUAGCACAAAGGCUUACCCAGUAGCACAAGGGCUAAGCCAAUAGCACAAAGCUAACCCACUGAAGGAGCCGAUUAAAUAAGGACUUAUGGCAACAUUUUGUUUUUUUGUGGCACGUUGCACAGUUACAGUCUGCAACAAUUCACAAUAUCAGGAGAGCCGAGAACACGAUAAUAAUACGUUUUAAUACGUUUUGGAGAAAUUCUGUAACUUAACACAUAGAUUUGAGGUUCAUUUUGGAUGCAACUGUGACACCGUAACAACAAGCAUGGAGAAAAAUAAAAAAAGGAAUUCUUGUCCUCUGUUUGAACACCACCUGUGUUUUCACCUUUAGUUCCGGGGAACAGUUGAUACGUGAACACUUGGAUGUUGCAUAAUCUCCAUUAGUGGUACAAGGCUGAGCCAGUUUGCACUCAGAGCCCAUUUGGCACACAGAAGAAAAGCCGAACCUCCCACGCGAGGCCUCGGUGUGAUUCUCUAUCUAUUAGUUUGUUCAACUGUUUUGCCCGCAGGCCGGCCGAUCGCCACAGGAAAAAGCCAGGACGCGUUGCCUUAAUGUUUCCGUCACGUCUUGGGCAUAAUCGCCACGGGUUUUAGAAGGACGCUGCGGUCACGGAUAACCCGCCGCGCUCUGUCUGCGUCUGCUGCCUCAUCAAACAGGGCCGAUCUCCCCCCACUGUACUCCCCCUUCAGCAUAAACACAAGUGUCACAGCUGUUUUGUCGGUACAGAUAUUUUUCAUUAGCUGUCGCGUUAUGUUGUUAUACACACACAGUAUCCGUUUGGGUUUUGUGUCUAAUAGGAUUGCAAAGAGAUCCUUUCCAAACCUGACAAGCAGAAGGUCCCCAGACCUUGUGGACAUCAGAACUACAAAAAAGUUCCUUGUCGCCGAUCCUGUUUAUUCAAGGAAUCUUUUACUAGAAAAGAGGAGCAAACAUUACCUGGCGCAAAACAAAGGGUGUUUAAAGUUAGUAAAAAUACAUCAUGCUCUCACCGAGCUCCCUUUUCCCAAGUUCUCCGACAUCGAAAAACUGCUCGCGGCAGGCAGGAGGCCUGUGAACGCGUCCGCGCGUGUGUGGGUGUCGUACACUCGACCCGCGGCAAAGUCGGUACAAUAAGUACGAUGUGAUGCUGAUCAACACGCUGGAAUAAGGAGUCUUACGCGAUGCAGAAGAUCAACUGUUCCGUUUGAUCGUUACUCUCAAACGCUCAUCCUGAGUGAAACGCAGAGCUUAAAUGAGCAGGAAUAAUGUCCACGCACGCUGGUUGACGGUGCAGAGUUGACGUCCACGCACACGCGCGCGCAUGCAUGCACACGCACACAGUAUGAUUCUUCACUCAGGUUCUUUCACUUUCUCCUCACAGCUCAGCUGCUCAAACGUGUCUCUUUAUUCUGAAAAGCCCAUCUUCAGAAACACUGAUUAUGCUAUUUCACGCAUGUGAAGAGAUUAUUCAAAGCCGUCAGCAAGUUUGUCAUCGUGUUAGGCUCAACAGAUUAUGACUUAAUAUCGUCAACAGAAACAUUGUGCAGCGACGGAACACAGAAGGAGCCACGUGAAGACUUGAAUGCAGAUGUUUUCGGUUAGUGCAUUUAACAAAGUCUGGGCGGCAGUCGUUAAUCUGGGGAUGAGUCCUUUCAGUCAGCUUUUCAAUGUGAAUGCAAAGCUAUAUUUGGCAUGUUGAAAAUCCACCUGUGCACAUUUAUGGUGUCACAUAUCUGCGCAUGGUGCACAAGAACAUGAUUUUCCUCUCAGGUGGGACGAGUCGACUCCCUCUUUCCUAUUCCAUGGCUGCCAUCGCGGCGUGGUGGGAGGUGCGGUGCUUUCAGAAGAGAUGAAAAGGUUUUAUUGACCAGCUCCCCACCACAUCCGCCGCUAAUGCCCCCCCCCCCCCCUCCCCGGGCAGCUCCCUCGGAGGUGGUCGGCACCCGGACGAGGAAAUCACCAAGCGUGUGGCGACGAGCGCGCGCUGCGGCCUGCGUGCACGGAGGCCGUUAAUCUGAGGUCCAAUCGCGAAUUUGCAGAUGCACAACAAAGAGAACAUCUGGCUGAGAUCCGCCUUCGCGUGUUGUGAGUGAUUAAGAAUGGCGCGCAAAUGCUUCAUAUGAGGCAAACGUGUACUUAAUAAGGGAUUCGUUCAAGGAACGCGCGGCUUUUGUGCAAGCUCUUCUAUUAUCGACUGCAGUGAACGAUAAGUGAGCACGAUACCAGUGAUUGAAUAAAGAAAUGCAUGCGAUGAAUUGAUUUCGUUUCUUGUCUUUUGUGGUAUAAUUGCACCUUUUGGCUAUUCCCAUCCGCAAUGGUAAAAGAAACAAAGAAUAAUGAUGAGUCGAAGAGAAAGACCAAUUAUCUGAGUAUCAGCACUCACCAAUCAGCGUUGCAGGCUCGCUGGCGUCCUCAUUGGCUGUGAGGACGGGUGGGUGAGGAACGUUCUAUCAUCUCUGAAUGCACUUCAGGAGCUUUCAUUACAAUUUGUAUUCCACAUUACUCGCCAACACGGUGUGCACCCUUAAGCCCUGAAGAAACAUGCGGAAUGCAUUUCCUACCUCACCAAAUCCGUACAAAGCGCCUGUCUUUUCCUCUUCUCUUAUGUUGACUCAAGUUCCAUUGCAAAACAAAAAUAUAUAUGUUGGACAAGCGGGCAAAACCUCAGAAAGACGUGGCAGUUUUUUACUCAUUUUCUGCGACAUUUGCAACAUCUGCAGAUGGCAAAUAAUGCACUUUGUGUAGCACCGACAUUGCAGGGCGUGGCGGGUGAUGCUGCAUGCGACAACAUGGAUGAAGGGAACCAUACGAAAUGAACGAGACUCCCUGCGAGGCGCUGGCACGAAAAACACGCAAACCGAGCAAAAUAAAAGCAGUUUCAUGAAACUCACCAAAUCCAAUUCAGCAAAGACAAUGAGGCGGAUUAUCGCCGCUCGCGUCCCACACGGCGGCACCACGGCGGCCGUGAAGUUUCCGCCUCGUUCUUCUAAAUAUUUGAUGUGGUAAAAGCAAGAGGCUGUUUGUUCUUUGCACAUGGCCACCGGAGGAUGCACGCGGCGCCCCUCCCUCGCUCGGAUGCAGCGAGCAACACAGCGGCGCGCUUCAUACAAUCUUAUCUGUAAGCAAAUGUCUGCGUAUUUGAAGGAACGUGCGUUUGCAGGCUGUUUCCCUGCGUCUUCUUUAAUUAGGGGAAGUUGCACACCGUGCUCACGUUCCUGUCAAAUAAGGCCUUGAUCUGUUUUUUAUUUUUCUCCCAUACAAUUUUCAGGAACUCUACAAUGUUGAGACUCACAUUUCCAUUAGGAGAGUUCAAAAGUUAAGACCAAUCUUGAAUAGAAAUAUUCAGAAAUAUGGAUUCAAAAAUAAAUACAAAAAAUGAAAGAAUGAUUGGUUGGCCUUCUCUGCUUUGUAUGAAGCAAAUAAAUCUUGCUGAAAGCAAAGCUGAAAACGUGCUUUUAUCUCCCGUCUCCAUGGAAAAGGGCAUUUAUUUGUUUAUUUAUUUUUUUGGUGAUGAGGCUUUUGUUGUUUUGUGCUGCUACGCUGAAAUUGCCCUUUUCCAUUGCCGAUGUUUGUCGGCCCCCGUGAGAGGAGCUGCC
Long non-coding RNA from Gasterosteus aculeatus aculeatus (three-spined stickleback), 7325 nucleotides. Lineage: Eukaryota; Metazoa; Chordata; Actinopteri; Perciformes; Gasterosteidae. The record is from Ensembl.